GAUGAACGCUGGCGGCGUGCCUAAUACAUGCAAGUCGAGCGAACAGAUGAGGAGCUUGCUCCUCUGACGUUAGCGGCGGACGGGUGAGUAACACGUGGAUAACCUACCUAUAAGACUGGGAUAACUUCGGGAAACCGGAGCUAAUACCGGAUAAUAUAUUGAACCGCAGGGUUCAAUAGUGAAAGACGGUUUUGCUGUCACUUAUAGAUGGAUCCGCGCCGCAUUAGCUAGUUGGUAAGGUAACGGCUUACCAAGGCAACGAUGCGUAGCCGACCUGAGAGGGUGAUCGGCCACACUGGAACUGAGACACGGUCCAGACUCCUACGGGAGGCAGCAGUAGGGAAUCUUCCGCAAUGGGCGAAAGCCUGACGGAGCAACGCCGCGUGAGUGAUGAAGGUCUUCGGAUCGUAAAACUCUGUUAUUAGGGAAGAACAAAUGUGUAAGUAACUAUGCACGUCUUGACGGUACCUAAUCAGAAAGCCACGGCUAACUACGUG
RNAcentral lists this ribosomal RNA (497 nucleotides) under uncultured bacterium. RNAcentral describes it as "partial 16S ribosomal RNA". It matches the Rfam family "Bacterial small subunit ribosomal RNA", at positions 28 to 507 of the family's 1533-position model. The record is from RNAcentral.